AUCUGGGAACGGGCGGCCAAGGGAGCGGCGUCGGCGUCCUCCAGCGGCAGGCAGCGGGAGAACGUGACGGGUGGAAAGGAGUCGCCGCCGCAGCCGCCGGAGGUCGGAGCCGAGGAGAGGUGGGCGGACAACAACGAGCGACGCCUCGAGGCCCCACACGGUGGCCGGGGAGAAAGAGGAUUGUGGAGGCUGAUGUCCAAGAGAGAGGGCUGCCUGCCUUCUGGAUCCGAAGGCCCAUCUUCUCCCCAGCCGAUGACGCCAUGCCGGCCUCCUCAUUUGAUUGAGGCAUCCUCAUCAUCAGCCAAAGUAGCUUGCACAAGGCAGCGAAGUUCAGAUGUGUGGGAUACUGUAGUUGAGGCACGGGUUGAUGGCAUGUUGAUGAGCCAAUCCUGCUGCUCCAAUUGA
This 405-nucleotide long non-coding RNA is filed under the name Oryza sativa Indica Group (long-grained rice). Its description in RNAcentral is "lncRNA OsMH63_11G005060". RNAcentral also lists the same sequence under 2 other names. Lineage: Eukaryota; Viridiplantae; Streptophyta; Magnoliopsida; Poales; Poaceae. The record is from RNAcentral.